UUUGUUUGAAUUGUAGAGUAGAAUCUAAAUUUGAAGUAUUGAUGGAAACAAAAAGCAUAAAAUUUAUUUUAGGGACCAGGAUUAGAUACCCUGUUACUUUUAACUAAAAGAUUUUGGAAUAAUAGUAUUAAUGAAAUUUAACGGAUUUGGCGGCAAGAUAGCCCCUUAGAGGAACCUGCCCUGUAAACGAUGAACCACGAGGGACUCUACUUUUUUUGGUAAUUCAGUUUGUAUAUCGCUGUUGUCAGUUAGAUUCUUGAGAAUAUUUUCGAACAUGAUAAAGUCAUUGACUUCAAGUAAAGGUGCAGCUUAUAGAAAAGAUAGAGGUGGGUUACAUUUAUAAGAUUAAAACGGAUAAGAUAAAUGAAAUAUUCUUUGAAGGUGGAUUUAACUGUAAAACUUAAAUAAGUUUGGUGAGAGCUCUAUCUUGUGUACACACCGCCCGUCGCUCUCUUUUUUAAAAC
RNAcentral lists this ribosomal RNA (464 nucleotides) under Epopella plicata. RNAcentral describes it as "partial 12S ribosomal RNA". The record is from RNAcentral. Lineage: Eukaryota; Metazoa; Arthropoda; Thecostraca; Balanomorpha; Austrobalanidae.